CCUACUAGUAUCCGUGGGGGUCCAUAGGGGUUCCGCUACCCGUUAACCUUUAACAUUCAUAAUCAGUUUCCAGGACCGUCCCCAUACCCCGUCCGGUAUGGGCGCCAAAACCAUAAACCUCAAUACCCCGUCCGGUAUGAGGGUGAAACGGGCCGUCCCCAUACCCCGUCCGGUAUGGGCGCCAAAACCAUAAACCUCAAUACCCCGUCCGGUAUGAGGGUGAAACGGGCCGUCCCCAUACCCCGUCCGGUAUGGGCGCCAAAACCAUAAGAUCUCCAUACCCCGUCCGGCAUGUGAGACCACAAUCCCGGUAGGGUUCCCUACGGACCCGGUCCGUCCACCAUCUCCCAGGAUAUCUAGUCAGGCUGACCCCAUCAUACAAUUAUCAGUCUACACAAUCUUUCAUUUUCCUUUUCCUCAAUAAGCAUCAUCAAUUCACAUACAAACAAGCAAACAGUAGUUCAUGCCAAACAGACAACAUACAGUAUCAGUUCUUCAGUCAUUCAACCCAUAAUUAAUAAAACAGUAAUAUAUGCAUUCGAAAUUAUAAAAUGAACACAUCAAACCCCAUAAUGCAUUUAAAGCUGUAAAACAGUGUAAAACAUGCCAAACAACAGUAAAUCAUUAAUCACACUAGACUCGGGCUCCAUUAGCAACCUUAAGCAAUUUCACACAUGCGUUAAUUCAAGAAAUACCGUUUUAUCAUUUUGAACUUUAAUACCGUGAUAGGAAAUAGAGUGAGGGGUCCUUACCUGUUUUCGGGAUCCGAAUACGAUUCACAGUGCGCCUGCAGGCUGUCCCUAAUUUUCCCCUGAAUUUUUCCCGGGGAACUGAAACACGCUCACAGUACCUGCACGGGUUCCAAAAAAAAAUCCAAAUUAGGCCCAGGGCCUCUUUCGGCCCAAAUCGCAACUCCGGCACGGCGGCUCCGCCGUGCUCCGGCGACGGCGCCGCCGCUGGCGGCGGCGAGUCGCCUCGGGUUGACUGUUUUCGGCCGUUUUUGGCCGAAUUCGGCCACACUCGCAUUGGUCCUUGUCAGAAAACAACCCUAGGGCCCUCGGGGGGCCAAAAAAUCACGGAAAAACGGAGCUUACCGGCGGCGGCGCUCUCGGGUACGGCGACUCUCCGGCGAAGUUCGUGUUUUGGUGAUUUGGCUUCGGUCAACCUGUAGAGAAAAGAAUGGUGAUCACGGUGAUAUAAGAAUUGCAUCGAACGGAGGCCGGGAAGGGCCUCGUCGGAGGCAAAAACCGAGAGGGGGCGCGGCGGUGCCGCUGGGCUUCGGCCGCGUAUUCCGGCCGUUUGGCCGGGAUUUCGGCUUCGAUUUGGCCAUAGGAGGAAUCAGUGGGGAAAAACGAGUCGGGGGUAUGAAAUUUACCUCGAUCGGCGGUCAGAAAUUUCCCCGGUGCGGCGGCGAGUGGCGGCGGGUGGCGGCGGUCGGCCUCUGGUUCGUCUUCUCCGGCGAGCGGCUGGCGGCUAGGGUUUGUGGUCUGGUGUGGAGGUUCUAUUUAUAACUCCUUGCCUUUUGAUCACAGCCGUUCAUUUUGUUUUAAUCUGGGCC
Molecule: long non-coding RNA, 1558 nt
Filed under: Carica papaya (papaya)
Lineage: Eukaryota; Viridiplantae; Streptophyta; Magnoliopsida; Brassicales; Caricaceae
Description: long non-coding RNA (CPAP_LNC000107)
Source: RNAcentral